This 9296-nucleotide long non-coding RNA is filed under the name Cucumis sativus (cucumber). RNAcentral describes it as "long non-coding RNA (CSAT_LNC001924)". Lineage: Eukaryota; Viridiplantae; Streptophyta; Magnoliopsida; Cucurbitales; Cucurbitaceae. The record is from RNAcentral.
CAUCUUUCACUCUUCCAACAAUAAUCUUAAAAUCAAUAUUGUUUUUGUCUUUGAACAGUCUUACAAUCCUCUUGUUAUUUGCAGGCAGUGCAGUGGGGACUGUAAUUUUUCACGGUUUUCCUUCCUCUGCCAUUGAUGCCUUUAUUAUUUCAAUUGUCUUUGCUUUUUCAGGUGCUUUGAGUGCUCUUUUGGUUCCUCAAAGGCACAAAUUAGCAAGAUUUUGUGCCUUGUAUUCUCUGGCUUCCCUGGCUUCCGCUCUGCUUCUGCUGAUUUGGGGACUGUAUCAUACACUCAUUCUUGGCAAAGCUCAGAGUGCUUUAUGACCUUAGAAUAUGUUUGGUUCUGGUUUUUGUUAAACCUCUUUUGAGCUUUGAAUCUAAAUAUUCUCCCAAGUGUUUUCAGUAAUGUUUACAAAUAGUUAAGAAUAUGAAGAAGAUCUGUUAAUUCACCUGUACGUCGUACUUUUAAGCCAUCUCUUUUAGUUGAAUCCCUUCUCUUCUCUUCUCUUCUCUUCUCUUCUCUUUCUUUCUUUCUUAAUAGAAUCAAUAUGUUUUUCUUAUUCGUGAGAUUAGGGUUAUUGGGUUCGAUUUUACUUUCUUGUUUGUGAGAUUAGGGUUAUUGGGUUUGGUUUUGGUCCGCGAAGUUUCAAAACAAAACAUUUUCAUUAAGGAAUGAACCAUAAAUCCUAUGUCAGGAGUACAACAAUUGUUGGGUGAAGUACCGAAUCUUCAACCUCUAGGUUGAAAGACUAUGUCAAUUACCAUAGAGUUAAACUUAAUUUGUUUUAGUUAUAAGCUAAAAGAAGUUGUUUAAUUAUUAAAUAGGAAUAUUAAGAAAAUGUUUGGGACAAACCUAGAGUUAUUUAGAUGUGGAGUUUACAAUGCAAUGAGCUAAUAAAGUCCUGAAAUUAAUAUUUGUUAGUCAACCAAAUAGUAGAGUUAACAAACAAUUCCCUCAACUCCCACUCGUCAAGAUAAGUAUGGCCUACGUGUUUAAAGGUGGCUCAUUGAGUAUACAAGAAGAAUGAUAUUUAAUCGGAUUUAUAGUCCUCAAUGGAUUACUUCUCUUUUAAGUCCUAUUUUCGGCCAAACAGAGAAUUUUGCUCCGAAGAAGAUUCUAAGCCAAUUCUCAAUUUUAUUUAUUGAUUUUUUGUUUUUUUUUUUUCCAGAAAACAAACAGCAAGAAGAUCGAACUACAGAACUACAUCAAGAGACACAAGUGAAACAAACCACCCAAGAUAAGGGAAGUAGAUAAGAGAAAAAAAAGGUUGCUCUUCCAACAUCUUAGACGUCGGAGAGUGGGCCAGAACAUCUUAGAGCACCACAUGUCAUUAUCUUCCUACAAAUUGAAAUCUUCCUAUUGUAUACUUUGAAUCCAUGUACUUCGAUAUUCUCCUAUGCAUAAAUCUGCUCAUGAUCGUUCUUGAAUAAUUAUAUAUACAACCUAGUUUAUAAACGUUACAAGUGAUUUGAUUUGAAGGUUUAAGACCCUCCAUAAACCUUCAAUCUCUCAAUAAUAAUGACUAUAAAAGAACUAAUGGUUACCGGGGCCAAGUUGAAAAAAAACCAAAACAAUCUUUUUUAAUAAGUAAUCACAAUACUUUGUUUGUAUUUUGUAUUCUUGUUAUAAUAAUAAAAAGGAGCAUACUGUUAGAUACCUAGAUUUAGAUAGGGCUAAGGGUAGUUAGUUAUAUAAGGCAGUUAGAUGGUUAUAAACAGGGAGUUAGGGAGGGAAGAAAGACAUGAAGAAUUUGGUGAAGAAAUAGGGUUGCUGCAAUAUUCCUUGAAAGAGGGAAAGGACAGAGGGUUAGGGUUCUUUUACUUCUUUUAUAUUCUAAUUCCUAUUGAAAGUAUCAAUAAAAUAGAAACACUAUAUCAGUGUUCUAUCAAAUUGGUAUUAAAGCACUCAUUUCCUGAGAAAUCAAAGGAAAAUGGCAGUCACAGGAACUCUCGAAUCCAUAAUAAAAAAUAUGAAGCGGUUGGGAAUUCAAAUCGAGGAAAUCAACCAACCGAUGUUAAAGUGGAUUGAAAUAGAGAAGGAAGAAACGAAAUGGAGAGGAAUCAAAAACCAAAAGCAGUAAGGAAAAGGAGGAAGCGAAAAGGAGAGAGUUCAAAGAAGAUUCGCUAAUGAAAUAUAUUGAAGACGAGAUUCGUGAGAGAUAUACAACGAGCAAAAUAGAAGAUCCAUCCUGCCGAAUAAAGAUGAGUGAGAAUAAGGUAGAGCAAGGUGAAGAAUCCAUACUUGAAAUAAUUGAGGAAUCGAAAACGUGCAACACGAUUAUUGAGCGCUUAGAGGAUCAAACCGAGAAACAACAACAUAUUCAGUACAUCGAAAGCUUGGCAAAGAAAAAAAUUACAAUCAGUAUAGGAAGCACAACAUCGGCAAGUCAAGUGUUGAUGAUGGACAGUACAGUCAAAGGAAGAAAUAUACGAUUGAAAGAAACCAAGAAUGAAGAACGAAUGAAGAAGAUAGAAAUUGAAGAAGAUAUGAGUAAUCCAAACGAAUUACCAAUGUUUAGCGGCAAGGACUUCGAUUCAAUUUUUUUAGGUACCAAACGAAAAUUACAAAAGUAUACAAGGAAUGAUUUUGGGAAAUUAAUCGAUGCAACAAUAAGGUUCGAUGAAAGGACAUUAGAUUGGUCUCGAUCGAAGAAGGUGAGUGAAGAACUUUUCUGCAGACGAAUUUCAGCAAUCAAACGAAAAGCAAUCGUAGAAGGUCGGCAGGGAAUAAUGGUGAGAUGCGGAACGAAGAUUCAAUUGAAGAAAAAGUUGUUGCUUAAGGAAACCGAAACUAGUUGGUUGCGAUGGAGAAUGAAGAAGCCGGAAGUUAUCUUUUCGCGAUGGGAAAGAAGUAUUAAUAUAAUUAGAUUAUUCUUAGGAGAUAUUAUUCUGGAGAUAUUAUUUUAUAUUAUUAUUUUAUAUUAUUUUCUUAAGUGUAUUUCUCUAUGGUUAUAUAUAGGCUUGUAUCUCUACUAAAUAAUGAAUGAAAUAUAGAUUUAUUCCAUAAAAUCAACAUGGUAUCAGAGCUCUAGGGUUUUCGCCUUAUUGAAUUCUAGCCUCCACAUCCCGUUUGAUCUCUGCCUCCGUUGAUCAUUCAUCAACGGAGGCAGAAUCAUCUCUCAUUAGCCAUCAACGGAGGCAAAAUCAUCUCCCAUUAGCCGAAGCCACCCCUUAGAUCUGCAAAUCUGCCGUUGUCGUUGCACCUUCCCUUUGCCACUCAUUGCUGUUCAAAUCUGCCACUAUCCAAACCCCAGAAACCCCAUUAGUUUUUCACUAGCGUCCGCGGCGGCCAUCUCCUUCAUAGUUCUUCGUCCGACCUCUUGUUUUUCUGUUAGCCAAGCAGCCGAUUGAACCUCUGCCAGUUGAAGCCGAACGCCUCUGCCAGUUGAAGCCGAACGCCCAGCCGAAGAGUUUCGGUUUUGUCCAUCGUCCAAGAAGCUCCGCUCGCCGCUGUGUUUCGUUGUCGUUGCUCCAUCUUUUUAUGUUGUCUCGACAAAACCCAUGAAACCCCAUGUCCUCAGAUCCUCGCGUCCGCCUCCAAUUUGUUCCAGACCUGUAUGAUUUCAUUCAGACCCAUUCUUCAUGUCUGCCUUUGAAGUUUAGAUCGAAGCCCAGAUCCAACGACGCCUCCAUUCUGUUUUUGUUCAGAUCCGCUAAGCCUCUCUGCUCCAUUCAGUUCAGUUUCCGUUCUGUUCGCCCCAGAUUUCCCGUUUAAUCUGAUUCUGACUUGCUCUAGUUUAGUUCGUUCAGUUCCAUCUGAUCCGACAAAACACUUCUGUCCAAUUCCGACCUUGUUUUCGUCCAGCUUUGAUUCUACUUUGCUUCAGUUUUGCUCUUUCAUUUUGCCCCUCGAAGUUCUUGUUUCGUUCUUCCUAGGUUCAUGUUAUAGAUCUCUAUACGAGGAUCUAUGUUUCUAUCCCAGAAGUUUUUCGUGGGUUUGUUCUAACCUAGAAGUUCUUUGUGUGUUUGUUCUUCGGGUUUUUUAUUCUAUUCUAGAUAUAUUGUUUCUUUUCUUAGUUCUUAGCAAACUCAAGUUUGUGAUUUCAACCUUGAGUUUGAGGGAGGGUAUUAAUAUAAUUAGAUUAUUAUUAGGAGAUAUAAUUCUAGAGAUAUUAUUUGAUAUUAUUUCCUUAAGUGUAUUUCUCUAUGGUUAUAUAUAGGCUUGUAUCUCUACUAAAUAAUAAAUGAAAUAUAGAUUUAUUCCAUAGAAUCAACAAGAAGAAGUCGAAGUCGGCAGUCCGUCUGGAUGUGAAGGAGAAAGAAAAUGUCGACAAGUGGAUGGGAAAAGAAGACGACGACAGUCAUCUGGAUGCGAGGAAGGAGGAAAACGUUGUUAAAUGAUGAUCCAUGGUGGUCCGAGGAGGUGAUCGGGAAGAUGGGAAAAUCGCAUGAAGAGGAUGAAGUUGCACACGUAAGGAUGCCAAUGACGUGGCAGAAAGUGAUAGAAGAGAAGAAUAGGGCAAGAGAAAUAAACCCUAAAAUUUUAGGCUUUAUUUUUUCUAGUGGGCUUCAACUUUUAUUAUGUGAACUUCAACUUUUGAUAAAUAUAAUAGUGGAGGUCCAUUAUUAUAUAGAUGAAGUGGGUGGAGAUUUUCAAGAAUAGGAGAGACGAAAAACGUGCCUAAAAUUGGGGAAAGAAAGAUUCAGUAAUAAUGGGUUGGGUUGUAGGCUGGAGAAAGAAUAUUUUGGGUAUGGGUUGAAGGCAAUGGAUCUGUUUGGAGUCUAGAAUUUUUUGAAGCUGAAGAGAAUUUGUUUUUCAAACUUGACGAGCAUAUCACUGUGAAGGGUUGUAAUUAAAAUACGGGGGGGGGGGGGGGGGGGGGGGGGUCAAUUUUGUGAUCAUAUUUGUAAGCACACCUUGAGGACAAGGUGUUUUUGAAGGCCUGGGUAAUGUUAGAUUAGAUGGGGCUAAGGGUAGUUAGUUAUAUAAGGCAGUUAGAUGGUUAUAAAUAGGGAGUUGAGGAGGGAAGAAAGGCAUGAAGAAUUUGGUGAAGAAAUAAGGCUGCAACAUUCCUUGAAAGAGAGAAAGGACAGAGGGUUGGGGUUCUUUUACUUCUUUUAUAUUGUGAUUCCUGUUGAAGGUAUCAAUAAAAUAGAAAUACUAUAUCAGUGUUCUAUCACAUACAUGUAAACAUUUCACAAAUAAAAGUACCAAAUAAAUUUAUCAGAAUUUUUGUCACCUAGAUUCCGAGUCAUCUACAUGUUUGUUUAUAUAUGUAGCAGCAUCUAAGAGGCCCAACUAAUGGCUAAAAGAAAAGCAAGAAUGAUAUGUUUAAAUGACUAUCCACAUUCCACAAUAUAUAAUCUUUCAUUCCUUUGAUAAAAAUAUUCAUGCUUGAUAGAAAUAGAUUCUUGAAGCAUUAAUAAAAUGAGGAACAAACCAGAAACUAUCCACGCCACAUGCAAUAUUUAAUUGAAAUACCACUUUUUUGAUGAAUUUUCUUUAGAUAUUAUAAUAAAUUUAUCUUCGCUCAACUUAAACUUGUGGGUGGAUUGGUGAUUUAAGAAUUUUAUAUAUGGAUGCAUAUGUUGAUGGUAGGGAUGUAAGAAUAACCCGACGAAUCCGGACUAUAUGGGUUGGGUUGGGUUGAAAAUUUUGGUAUUUUUUGGGUUGGGAUGGGUCUCGUAUUAUUAUUUAUUUAAUAUUUAUGGAUUAUGUUUGUAAUGUUGAACUUUUAUGGAUAUUUGAAACUUUGAAUUUAUGAAUGUUCCAAUUUUUGGAGGUGUGUAUUUAUCAAUAUGAUAGGUAUAACAAUUUUAAAUUUUAUAAACAUUAGAAAUGAAAAGAAAAAACAAUACAACCUAACAACCCAACUCAUAUUUUAAGGGUAGGGUUGGGUUGGGUUGAGAAUAUUAUUCGGGUUGCCAACCCAACCAACUUGAAAAUAUGGAUUGGGUUGGGUUUCCAACCCGUUUACACCCCUAGUAGGUGGCGUGAAAAAGAACAUGCAUAUCACAUAUUGGUGAUGUCAUUUUCAAUAAUAUGAAGCUCUUUCUUUUUGUUACCUUCCUAUAAAAUCUCUUUACCUUACGUUUUCUGCUUCCCUAUCAGCUCAGAAAUCUCCUCGUAAACUCCUUCAGAUUGCUUAUAAUUUGAGUAUGGAAAUCUCAGGAGCCCAUUUCUUUGCACCUGAAAAAUAUGGCAUGAUCCAAAAUCCCAAUAUCAAUGAAUUAUUGUCUUGUAUUCCUGUUAACUCAAUCUCUACUUCUGAUGAUGGUGAUGAUCAGAACCACAAACCUGGAAUAGUCAUCGAUGAGAGGAAGCAAAGGAGAAUGAUAUCGAAUUGGGAAUCGGCACGAAGGUCCCGAAUGAGGAAACAGAAGCAUCUUGAUGAACUUUGGUCAGUGGUACUUCAUCUUCGUACAGAGAAUCAUAGUCUCAUGGAGAAGUUGAAUCAGUUAACAGAUUCUGAACAACAGCUUCUUCAAGAGAACGUCAAGCUCAAAGAAGAAGCAUUGAAUUUACAUCGGAUGAUCACUGAUAUUCAAAUGGGCAGUCCUUACACAACUCACUUGAGAGAGCUGGAGGAAGCCCCCUGCAAUACAUUUGUUAUCAUGGCUGAAUCCUCAAGCCAAUCUGAUGAGUAGAGAAGUUACCUUCCACUGUUUCACUAAGAUCAUAGCUAUUUCCUCACAUAUUCUCUUCCAGUUCUGUUUUAGAAUGCUUGUAAUAAGCCUCUACCCUUUAGUCGGCAGACUCACCAGUAUAAAAUGAAAAAAUUAUUAAUUUAUACCUUUAAAAAGUAUCAACUUAAAUCCUAAACUAAUAAUCAUGUGAAUUUACACUAUCCAUUACAUUCAGUUUGAAAAACCUCGCAUAAAACUUAUAGUUGUAUCAAUUAAAGCCCUGAAAUUGACAUUUGAAGAAGUCUAACACACAUUUGAAAAUUAAAGCAUAGUUUAUUUUCAGAAGUAAAUCGUAACAAAGGGAUUAAAAUGAUGGACUUAUCAAAACUUUAACAGUUUAAUUAACGAAAAAUUUUAAGUUUCAUAUCAUAUUUGUCAAACUAAACCUGGAGGACAUAAGAUAUAAAUUGAUAACACUUUCCAAAGCUUAAAUCGAUACAGUUAUUAGUUCAGAUUCAAGGUUUAAACUGAUACAGAAAGUUGGUAUAAAUUGAUAUUUAACCAACCAAUAGACUUCUAAAAUCUGCUCAAUAAACACCAUGGUGCUCUCUGGGGACUUUUCUCAAACACCUAGUGGGCCAAAGCAGUUGAAAACUACUCAAUAGAUUAAUGAAGUAACAGGAAAGCAACUAAUCAAAUGAAGCCAGAGUUGUGUAGCAAGUCCAGUGAAAACAAGUAUACCUUCCAAGAACAUAGAAAAGUAAGCACCAAUAACACAAAAUGGUGGUGGAAGUGGUGGGGACAGUGGCAAAAUAUCUACCAAGUAAUAUAAAAGUAAAGUGGCAAAAACAUGAAAAAAGAAGUCAUAUAGACAAACCCAUCUGCAAUUGAACUCGAAUGAUUUUCUCCUUUUUACCUGAGCAUCAAAUUCCUUGCUUCCUUCAACUUGGUUUUAGUUCAGCCAAGUCCAUCGCUAUCCGCAAAUCUUCAAUUGGGAUUCUACAAAAUCGAAAUUGGGAACAUAUUCACAGUUGACGAUUCGUUUUGAUUCUUCUUUCAUACGUGAGUGAAUAUGAAUUUCAGACACCAUUUUGCAAGCAAAAACUGCCCAACUACCCCAAAUCCUAAUGUGUAGCUGGGUAUCUAACAAAGUAGUAGCUUUAUUGUUGGGGAUUUGGAGCCCUUUUGGUUGCGAUUGAUUCCAAUUGAUAGCGAUUUCUCGUUGGGUGGAUUAAAGUUUGUUUGAGAAUAAUUUUGCAGCACUUUAAUGCGUGUGUUAAACAGAUGUGAAGGUGGGAAUUUUGAGAAGAGAAUUAAUUCCGAAACUAGAGAUGAUCACGAGCCCGUCGGGAAAUGACGUUCUAUUCCGGCAAAUUCCUAUUCUUACCUACCAAAGGAACCACAAUACUUACAAAAUAUCACCUUUCUUUAUCUCUACUAUUUUAUUAUAUUUAGGUAAAUUCCUCUUUUCCUAAUCAUGAUUGGUAGCAAAUUUAGAUUUAAAAACCCAGAAAUAAAUUCUUCAACUCCUUGCCCAAUUGAAAUGUUUUUUAAUAAAUUCAUUUUUUCUUAAAUCCUUUAAAAUACCCUUCAAACUUUAUUUUUAAUGAUUUUUAAACAAUUUAGUUUGUUUUCAAAAUAACUUAUUUUCUAAAUUAAAACACUCACAAAAUCUAAUCCAAACACCUCAUAAACUCAACUUAUUUAUAAAAUUAAUAGAAUUUUACAAUUAAAAAAGAUGCUCAAAUUUUAAUGAUAUAAUACAUAGUAAAAUAUAGCAAAACAAACUAGGAUAAUAUAAAUUUAUUUGUGAUAAAAGAUGUUUAAAUAUAGCAAAAUAUUAUAGCCUAUUGUGAUAAACUGUUAUUUGUAUAUAUCACAAUACAUCUAGAUAAGGAUGGUAACCUAUCACAACACAUCUAGAUAAGGAUGGUAGUCUAUCACAUAGAUACAUAAAGUAAUAUUUUUCUAUAUUUGUAAACAUUUUCAAUAGUUUUUUAUUUAAAAUAAUUUUUAAAUGGCAAAAGUGGUCAAUUUAAAUAUAAAUAUUAUAUACACUAAUAUAAUAAAACAAUUAAGAAAACAAAUAUUCAAUCACAUGAUAAACUAAUUAAAAAAAUGUGGAACUUGAUGUUUGGUAAUAUAAAUUUAAGUGAAAUUGAUAAUUGGUUCCAAGUUUGGUACUGUUUUAGUAAACAAAAUGUAUAAAGAUUUGAACUAAUGACCGUGAGAGAAGAAAUGUACUUAACUAUGACUUGAGAGAAGAAAUGUACUAACUAUGACCGAUUAUUGGGGGCUUGUUUUUUUUUAAAAAAAUCAACUUCUUUGAAAUAAUUACACAUAUAAAAACAUUCCUAAUAAUAGACUAAGAGUUGCUAUUAAAAAAAAGCGCAAAGGAAUAAGUGGAUGAUUCGAUCUUAUAUUGACUUAUCAAUUUCUAAAUUCUACCCGAUCAUGAUUCUACCAUCAAUAUCUACUGGAAUAGUGACAAUGAAGACAAAAAUAAAUACAUAAGUUGCGAUCAAUAAGAUAGGGAUCAUCAAAACACCAAAUCAUCCCAUGUAAAGACAAUUUUCAUUGUUGGUUAUCCAGUUAUAGAAACAAUCCCAUAGGUUUUCGCUUUCGCUCUCUAAUAUUAUAACCACAUUCAUUUUUUUUUACCAAUAAUUGAGCACUCUUUUGUAGGUAAAUAUUUGCAUAUUUGAUUCCAUCCAUAAAACUUCUUUCUUA